UACGUAGGGUGCAAGCGUUGUCCGGAAUUAUUGGGCGUAAAGAGCUCGUAGGCGGUCUGUUGCGUCGGCUGUGAAAACCCGGGGCUCAACUCCGGGCCUGCAGCCGAUACGGGCAGACUAGAGUUCGGCAGGGGAGACUGGAAUUCCUGGUGUAGCGGUGAAAUGCGCAGAUAUCAGGAGGAACACCGGUGGCGAAGGCGGGUCUCUGGGACGUUACUGACGCUGAGACGCGAAAGCGUGGGGAGCAAACAGG
Molecule: ribosomal RNA, 253 nt
Filed under: uncultured bacterium
Lineage: Bacteria
Description: partial 16S ribosomal RNA
Rfam family: Bacterial small subunit ribosomal RNA
Source: RNAcentral